RNA transcript from Misgurnus anguillicaudatus (oriental weatherfish), 3875 nucleotides. It is a transcript of the gene named acid phosphatase 6, lysophosphatidic, with no coding region annotated. Lineage: Eukaryota; Metazoa; Chordata; Actinopteri; Cypriniformes; Cobitidae. The record is from RefSeq and is a predicted model, not a curated record.
UCAAUUCCCAAAGCAGGACGGGCACGAGGGUGCCUGUGCUGUACAUGAACUUGAAUGCCAGUCACGCUACAGUGUCGUCUAUAGAGACACACUGCCAUACAUCUCCACUGCUCAGUGUAUUUCCACUGUCAUACAUCUACAGGACUCCCUGGCGGCAGAAUAAGAGCCCAUUCAUUCAUCUGAAGAGGAAAGACCACAGAAGACUCAGAGAGAUAUAACUUGAGACAGUGUCAUAAAUCAGCAGUCAGACAGAUUAAGUAGUAGUGCUGGUGUGUAGCAAUGGGGGACUGGAGUCUCCUUGGUAAUUUUCUGGAAGAAGUUCAGGAGCAUUCCACGACAGUGGGCAAGGUGUGGUUGACUGUGCUCUUCAUCUUCCGUAUCCUGGUCCUGGGCACGGCCGCGGAGUCAUCGUGGGGCGACGAGCAGUCUGACUUCAUGUGCGACACGCGACAACCUGGUUGCACCAAUGUCUGCUAUGAUCGAGCUUUCCCCAUUGCUCAUAUCCGUUACUGGGUGCUGCAGAUAGUCUUCGUGUCAACACCAUCCCUUAUCUACAUGGGCCAUGCCAUGCACACGGUCCACAUGGAAGAGAAACGGAGGCGGAGAGAGCAGGAGAUGGCCGAGGGAGAGAAUGAAGAGGGACGAGGAGAAAAGGAAUAUUUGAAGAGGAGAGAAAAAGCAGAUGAUACACCGCCAAAGAUCCACCUAAGGGGUGCUUUACUGAAAACGUACAUCUUAAGUAUUUUUUUACGCUUAGUCAUGGAAGUGACCUUCGUGGUGAUCCAAUACAUGCUGUAUGGAAUCUUCCUGGAUUCCCUGUACCAUUGCACCACGUCACCAUGCCCCAACCCUGUGAACUGUUACAUGUCACGGCCGACUGAGAAAAACGUCUUCAUAGUGUUCAUGUUGGUGGUGGCAAUUGUUUCACUGUUCCUCAGUGUGCUGGAGCUCUACCAUAUUGGCUGGAAGCAGUACAGGCAACGUCUUAGAAAGUAUACCGAUAACCAUGCAGGUAAAGGCCAUAGCAAAAAUAUCAAAGCUGUUUCUGUAGUCAAAACAACUAUUUCAAAAGAAAUGCCUGACACGACUCAACCAAGUCCAACCCAAACUUGUACCCCACCUCCGGAUUUCAACCAAUGCGUUGCGUCAAGCCAAGUACCAACAUCACCUCCACAUCUUCAUCACCACCACCACCAUCCUUAUCAUAUCCACCAAAGCUGCCAGCCCUUCACUAACCACUUGGCCCACCAGCAGAACUCUGUCAAUAUGGCCACAGAACGGCACCAUCAUAGUCAUGAUGACCUGGAACCUCGUGAGAAUUUUCUGCAGAUGAGCUUUGGAAGCCCUCUGCCCAGCGCCCCCUCCACGCCAUCACCACACCAAGACUUCUUCAAAGACAAGCGCCGGCUUAGCAAGGCCAGUGGCACUAGUAGUAACCGGGUCAGACCAGGAGAUCUAGCUGUUUAGGCUGGGUUAAAGAGUGUUCCAAGAGAAAGUGAAGUCAGUAUUUAGAGGAAAGAUGAAGGGGGUUUGAGUCUGCUUGUCUUUUGAGUGUUUCAUUGGCCAACUUCUCUGUAGAAGUGCUUAAAGAGCAGCAUGAAAUAUAAGACAAUGAGAGUGAGCAGGACAGAGAGAGAAUCUGUAUCAGAGCAUCUAAUCUGGUUUCAUUGAAACUUGUCAUUGUUAUUGAAUGUAGGGUGGGAUCAAGUGAUCUUGAGUAAAAGGCUCUUUAUAUGACAUAGAUAAAGAUUGAGUUAACUACUGGUAUAACCUUGGGUGCAUUUAUAAAAUAGUUUUGCAUAAUUUUGCUUUAUGACUUCUAGCCGUGUUGACUCAUCUUGCAUUGCACAGGAAUUUAACCAAAUGCUCUUCAGAAUGACAAUGCCCAUCACUACAAUACAACAAAGCAAAAAAUAAAUCAUGGUUAAUCCAUGAGGCCAAACUUAAACCUACCUACUACACUGAGAAAAGGGUCCAUGGGGCAGGUAAAAAAAAGAGUUCAUAUUAGGUACACAUUGGUACCAAAUAUCUGUAUCCAAGUGGUAUAUAUUAGUACCUGUUCAAAGGGUACUGACCCGGUGUACCUUGGGACCAUUUUUGAAAAUUUUUCGGACAGUGUAUUGACUUUUUAGAAAGGGACAAGCCUUUAAAUAUGUUCUUUUCAAAUGUAUUUUUUUAUAUGAAAUGCUGUAUAUGAACACAGUAUAAAAAAUGACUUAUUUAAGCAACUUCAUUGGGUCUUUAAAAAAUCUGUUUAAAAACACACUGCACUGAAGUCAAACAUUAUUGCUUCAUGUACUUGCAUUUACUGAACAGCUUUUCAAUAUUUUUAACGAUAAAAGCAGAUUUAAAUAAGAUAUUGAGGAUUAUGGUUUUAAGGUCAGAAUAAAAAAUGCACCAAUUAAAAGUGCCUUUGGAAUGACUAUAUCAGAACUAUCAACCAGAUCUCAUGAGAAAAAUUAACUAUUUUACAUGCUGGCAAAUUAUGUUGUAUGAAUUUGUACCAUGUAAAUCACAAAACAACCUAUGAUUAUCAGGAAAACGAAAGUAUAGCUCCAACUCAAGGCCAUGCCCAAACCCAACAUGAGGUAAGCCAAUCCUAUUAAAGGUGCAGUGUGUAAAUUUUAGCGGCAUCUAGUGGUGAGGUUGUGAAGUGCAACCAACAGCUCAGUCCACUGCUCACCCCUCACUUUUGAAACACAUAGAAAAGCUACGGUAGCCGCCACCGGACAAACAUGUCAUCGUUGGAGACAAAAUGUUGUCUGUUAAGGACUUCUGUACAAACAUGGCGGCCUAAAAUGGCGACUUCCAUGUAAGGGGACCCUCGGUGCAUGUAGAUAAAAACGUCUCAUUCUAAGCUAAUAAACACACAACGGUUCAUUAUGAAAGGUCUUUAUACACCCCUGAUAAUAUAGUUUUGAAUAUUAUUUUGCAUUUCUGUCAAGAGAUCCUUUUAAAAAUUACACACUGCACCUUUAAAAUUUGUAGGAAUUAGCCACCUUGUAAGUUACAAAUUGCCAUUAGAUAAUGUUGUAAACACUUCCACAACAAAUCAAUUGUUUUAUAGCCUAGGUGAAGGUACAUAUCUGAAUGACCCUGACUACAAAAGUGCAAACAUGAAGUUAAAUAUUUAAAAUAUUUAAGAUAGACUAUGCAUUACAUGAUUUUCUCAUUAUUGGAAAACAGGGUUUGUUUUAUCAAAGCACUUUGAUGAAUAUCUGUUUAAAUGAUAUAGUAUCCUGUAAAUUAUUCCAGUAAUGUUUUUCAGUCUAGCACUCUAUCAUUCAGGUGAAUAGUACUUUGAAACAUUAUUUACACUGUUUGUCUGUAUUUAAUCUGUUGAUGUUGUCGUCCACCUUUUAUUAGAGGUUAUAUUAUGCAACAUAUAACCUUACACCAGUGUGUGAAUAUGGAUGUUAUAUUUAGAAACUAGAGUGAGGAUUUGGUCUGGAAAUCUUUGUCUGACAUUUUCAUCAUUGCAACGGAUGACAUCUCCGCUUUGUUUCAUUUUAUUUCUCACACGAUUGCACAGUGUCUCAUCUGACAAGAAUAUGAAAUAAAAAUAUGCAAACACAGUGUGUGACAUUUAUUUACGUUAUACUUUUAAUAAACCACGUGACAUCUGCAUACAGCUGCUCACGGAUCAUGGAACUGGCUGGAAGUGGAAAUCUCACUGCUACUACUUUAAACCAGUUGGUUUGUGUACAAGUUAUGCGUCACGAAAUCUGACAACCAGUGUGCAAAUGUGCUAAUGGCCAAAGAAACUACAUGUCCCAUAAUGCACCCCGCCGUCAGCCGGUGUAAUGUCAGACUGCACGAACGGAAUGAGUGCAAUUCAAAACCGGUGGUUUUAACUUCACGACUGAAACCUUCAG